Molecule: ribosomal RNA, 497 nt
Filed under: uncultured bacterium
Lineage: Bacteria
Description: partial 16S ribosomal RNA
Rfam family: Bacterial small subunit ribosomal RNA
Source: RNAcentral
GAUGAACGCUGGCGGCGUGCCUAACACAUGCAAGUCGAGCGAACGGACGAGAAGCUUGCUUUUCUGAUGUUAGCGGCGGACGGGUGAGGAACACGUGGAUAACCUACCUAUAAGACUGGGAUAACUUCGGGAAACCGGAGCUAAUACCGGAUAAUAUUUUGAACCGCAUGGUUCAAAAGUGAAAUACGGUCUUGCUGUCACUUAUAGAUGGAUCCGCGCUGCAUUAGCUAGUUGGUAAGGUAACGGCUUACCAAGGCAACGAUGGAUAGCCGACCUGAGAGGGAGGUCGGCCACACUGGAGCUGAGACACGGUCCAGACUCCUACGGGAGGCAGCAGUAGGGAAUCUUACGCAAUGGACGAAAGCCUAACAGAGCACCGCGGCGUGAGUGAUGAGGGUCUACGGAUCGUAAAACUCUGUUAUUAGGGAAGAACAUAUGUGUAAGUAACUGUGCACAUCUUGACGGUACCUAAUCAGAAAGCCACGGCUAACUACGUG